Molecule: long non-coding RNA, 1117 nt
Organism: Zea mays
Lineage: Eukaryota; Viridiplantae; Streptophyta; Magnoliopsida; Poales; Poaceae
Exons: 2
Source: RefSeq, a predicted model, not a curated record
GGCACGGAAAGCAGGCCGGCCCGUUAGCAGCCCGCGCCCCAUCCUAGGAUACCUAACCCGCGCCCCCACUCGCCCAGGCCGCCGCCCUCAUUUCGACCGCCCCGUCUCCCAAGUUCCACUCCUCCCCGCCCCGGUUGUGCUUGGCGAUUUUCGUGCUCCCGCUCCCGGCGGCUCAGCCCGUGCCUCGCCGUCGCCUUGCUGCCUCCUCCGGUCCUCCCACCGUCGACGGCCGACGGCUCGCCACCUCCGACGUCUCUCGUGCUCCCUGACUCCCUCUCCUCCCUCCCUACGUCUCCCUGUUCCUAACCCUAACCCUAAUCCCAUUCGGAUCUGGUGAUUGGUGAUACCCUAACCCUCAAUCCCAUUCGGAUCUGGUGAUUGUUGAUGCUCGUUCAUCGUUGGUGCUCCUCGCUGGUCGGCUGGUGCUCCUCACCUCAUCGGAUCAAGUUGUAGCUUCACAGCUGGACGACUAGUGCUCCGUGCGGUGCCGGUGCGGGUGCGUGAUUCCCUUCCUGAUUCUUCUCUGUCUCCGGUCCGGUGGUCUGCUGCUCUGCGCCUUGUAUGGUCACUGGCUCACUCCUCACUGCCUCACUGGUGCAGUAGUGCCCCUGCUGGCUGCUUGGACAUCUAUAAUUUUGUUCUGUUUUCAUUUUCCUCCCAUUCUCGUCCUCCUUCUAACCUGUCCGGUUGCCUGACUUUCUCUGGUGCUCGGCUGGUCCUUGCUUGCUGUUGCUGGUCGAUCUGCGCCUCUGCUCGGCUGCUCCUCGGACAUUGGCUCCGUUCCGUCGUCUCUGGUGCUCCGGCUUCGAAAGCCGUUGAGGUAGCCGGAGCCGACUGUACGUUGUAGCUCAUGGACCUUGACGCGGCAGCGGAAGCAGAGGAGGAGGAGCGCAUACUCGAGGACUUUAAUGAGGCUGAGGAUGCUAGGUUCUUCAUUAAUGAGGCGGCCAUUGCACUAACAGCUCCAAAUAGUCAUUUCAUAUCUGUGUUUGUGUAAUAUCCUGUGAACCAGCUGUUAUUUGUUGUGUGAUUAAUUCUGUGUGAAUCCUGUGAUUAAUUCUGUGUGAAACAUGUGAUUAAUUCUGUGUGAAUCAUUCUGUGUGAAUCAUGUGGUUAA